Picea glauca (white spruce) is the source of this 47-nucleotide non-coding RNA. Lineage: Eukaryota; Viridiplantae; Streptophyta; Pinopsida; Pinales; Pinaceae. The record is from Rfam.
GUAAUGGUGUCUCUAGACACCACACUUUAUAUUCAAAAUUUAUUUGU